UACGGAGGGUGCAAGCGUUAAUCGGAAUUACUGGGCGUAAAGCGCACGCAGGUGGCUGAGUCAGUCGAUUGUGAAAGCCCUGGGCUUAACCCGGGAAUUGCAGUCGAUACUACUCAGCUAGAGUAUGGGAGAGGGUAGUGGAAUUCCCGGUGUAGCGGUGAAAUGCGUAGAUAUCGGGAGGAACAUCAGUGGCGAAGGCGGCUACCUGGCCCAAUACUGACACUCAGGUGCGACAGCGUGGGGAGCAAACAGG
Molecule: ribosomal RNA, 253 nt
Filed under: uncultured bacterium
Lineage: Bacteria
Description: partial 16S ribosomal RNA
Rfam family: Bacterial small subunit ribosomal RNA
Source: RNAcentral